GUGCCAGCAGCCGCGGUAAUACGGAGGGUGCAAGCGUUGUUCGGAAUCACUGGGCGUAAAGGGCGUGUAGGCGGUCCGCUAAGUCUGAUGUGAAAGCCCGGGGCUCACCCCCGGAAGGGCAUUGGAAACUGGCGGACUCGAGUCCCGGAGAGGAAGGUGGAAUUCCUGGUGUAGCGGUGAAAUGCGUAGAUAUCAGGAGGAAUACCGGUGGCGAAGGCGGCCUUCUGGACGGUGACUGACGCUGAGACGCGAAAGCGUGGGGAGCAAACAGGAUUAGAUACCCUGGUAGUCC
RNAcentral lists this ribosomal RNA (292 nucleotides) under uncultured bacterium. RNAcentral's name for it is "partial 16S ribosomal RNA". It matches the Rfam family "Bacterial small subunit ribosomal RNA", at positions 505 to 796 of the family's 1533-position model. The record is from RNAcentral.